GACGAACGCUGGCGGCGUGCUUAACACAUGCAAGUCGAACGGAAAGGCCCUGCUUUUGUUGGGUGCUCGAGUGGCGAACGGGUGAGUAACACGUGAGUAACCUGCCCUUGACUUUGGGAUAACUUCAGGAAACUGGGGCUAAUACCGGAUAGGAGCUCCUGCUGCAUGGUGGGGGUUGGAAAGUUUCGGCGGUUGGGGAUGGACUCGCGGCUUAUCAGCUUGUUGGUGGGGUAGUGGCUUACCAAGGCUUUGACGGGUAGCCGGCCUGGGAGGGUGACCGGCCACAUUGGGACUGAGGUACGGCCCAGACUCCUACGGGAGGCAGCAGUGGGGAAUAUUGCACAAUGGGCGGAAGCCUGAUGCAGCAACGCCGCGUGCGGGAUGACGGCCUUCGGGUUGUAAACCGCUUUCGCCUGUGACGAAGCGUGAGUGACGGUAAUGGGUAAAGAAGCACCGGCUAACUACGUG
RNAcentral lists this ribosomal RNA (468 nucleotides) under uncultured bacterium. RNAcentral describes it as "partial 16S ribosomal RNA". It matches the Rfam family "Bacterial small subunit ribosomal RNA", at positions 28 to 507 of the family's 1533-position model. The record is from RNAcentral.